CACCAUUGAGACAAAUUCUUUUCAACUGCAAGUCUGAAACACCACUUUUCACUUUCUUAUGCAAUUUGAGAGGUCUAUUGUAGAUGGAAUAGAAAUCUAUUUAUCUCUCUGAGACCUAAUUAUUGAAACAGACAUGAAUAUAACACUCAUAAACAAACAUGGACAGACGAAUACAUGAGCCUGAAGGAAUGAUCACACCACGUAAGUUGUAACUCGUAAGUCGUAACUGAGAGUCUGAGACGAGAGUUGAGAGACGAGAGACGACUAAUGACUGACGAGAGUUAAGGGUUGAGAGUUGAGAGAUGAGAGAUGAGAG
This 316-nucleotide long non-coding RNA is filed under the name Solanum tuberosum (potato). RNAcentral describes it as "long non-coding RNA (STUB_LNC008448)". Lineage: Eukaryota; Viridiplantae; Streptophyta; Magnoliopsida; Solanales; Solanaceae. The record is from RNAcentral.